Molecule: ribosomal RNA, 429 nt
Filed under: Pseudomonadota bacterium
Lineage: Bacteria; Pseudomonadati; Pseudomonadota
Description: Proteobacteria bacterium partial 16S ribosomal RNA
Rfam family: Bacterial small subunit ribosomal RNA
Source: RNAcentral
UGGGGAAUAUUGGACAAUGGGCGAAAGCCUGAUCCAGCCAUGCCGCGUGUGUGAAGAAGGUCUUCGGAUUGUAAAGCACUUUAAGUUGGGAGGAAGGGCAGUAAGCGAAUACCUUGCUGUUUUGACGUUACCGACAGAAUAAGCACCGGCUAACUCUGUGCCAGCAGCCGCGGUAAUACAGAGGGUGCAAGCGUUAAUCGGAAUUACUGGGCGUAAAGCGCGCGUAGGUGGUUCGUUAAGUUGAAUGUGAAAGCCCCGGGCUCAACCUGGGAACUGCAUCCAAAACUGGCGAGCUAGAGUAGGGCAGAGGGUGGUAGAAUUUACUGUGUAGCGGUGAAAUGCGUAGAUAUAGGAAGGAACACCAGUGGCGAAGGCGACCACCUGGGCUCAUACUGACACUGAGGUGCGAAAGCGUGGGGAGCAAACAGG